This 394-nucleotide unclassified non-coding RNA is filed under the name Hevea brasiliensis (rubber tree). Lineage: Eukaryota; Viridiplantae; Streptophyta; Magnoliopsida; Malpighiales; Euphorbiaceae. The record is from RNAcentral.
UCACUUUGUGGCACUGAACAAGGGGUGAGUACUUUUCGUAUUCAUAAUAUCACAUUUAGGCAAAUUCAUGUUGGAAAGUUAUGGAAUAUGAAUAAAAAAGCCUUUUAUGAUUGUGUCUUGUAAACAUGGCUCCUAGAUGGAAGAAUACAGAAACAAAGAAAUAAAGUGAGGACUUGAGAUUGGAAGAUUAUAAAUCAAAUAGUUGAUUUCAUCUUGGCUAAUUUAUUACCAUCUUUUAAAAAAUGUUUAAAUUUCCCUAAAAUGGAAGUUAAAACUAACUUUUUUUUCCCUUGCAUAUCAUUUCUGUGGGAAUUAGCAUUUGGAUAUGUAAUUGAUAUCAUUUGGGGGCCGGUUUGCUGUUAUGACCAGUUUCAACAAUUUUGUAUUAACUGUG